CAGUCGCCGCGGGAAUACGAAGGGGGCUAGCGUUGUUCGGAUUUACUGGGCGUAAAGGGUGCGUAGGCGGAUUGUUAAGUCAGGGGUGAAAUCCCGAGGCUCAACCUCGGAACUGCCUUUGAUACUGGCGAUCUUGAGUCCGGGAGAGGUGAGUGGAACUGCGAGUGUAGAGGUGAAAUUCGUAGAUAUUCGCAAGAACACCGGUGGCGAAGGCGGCUCACUGGCCCGGAACUGACGCUGAGGCACGAAAGCGUGGGGAGCAAACAGGAUUAGAUACCCCCGUAGUCCCUGUCUCUUAUAC
RNAcentral lists this ribosomal RNA (301 nucleotides) under uncultured bacterium. RNAcentral describes it as "partial 16S ribosomal RNA". It matches the Rfam family "Bacterial small subunit ribosomal RNA", at positions 509 to 807 of the family's 1533-position model. The record is from RNAcentral.